CCCAGUGUGGCAUAGUGGUAAGGAGCAGGACUCAUAACCCAAAGGUUUCUGGUUCAAAUUCCCCACUGGGG
Molecule: non-coding RNA, 71 nt
Organism: Megalops atlanticus (tarpon)
Lineage: Eukaryota; Metazoa; Chordata; Actinopteri; Elopiformes; Megalopidae
Source: the annotation of a GenBank genome assembly